This 268-nucleotide ribosomal RNA is filed under the name uncultured archaeon. Its description in RNAcentral is "partial 16S ribosomal RNA". It matches the Rfam family "Archaeal small subunit ribosomal RNA", at positions 748 to 1010 of the family's 1478-position model. The record is from RNAcentral.
AGGGUGUAAACGCUGCAGACUUGGUGUUGGGGCCCGUUUCGGGGGUCGAUUCAGUGCCGGAGAGAAGUUGUUAAGUCUGCUACUUGGGGAGGUACGUCCGCAAGGAUGAAACUUAAAGGAAUUGGCGGGGGAGGCACCGCAACGGGAGGAGCGUGCGGUUUAAUUGGAUUCAACGCCGGACAUCUCACCGGAUAAGACAGCUGAAUGAUUGUCAAUCUGAAGGUUUUACAUGACUAGCUGAGAGGUGGUGCAUGGCGUCAGUGACUGU